UAAUGGGUCAGCGACUUAUAUUCUGUAGCAAGGUUAACCGUAUAGGGGAGCCGAAGGGAAACCGAGUCUUAACUGGGCGUUAAGUUGCAGGGUAUAGACCCGAAACCCGGUGAUCUAGCCAUGGGCAGGUUGAAGGUUGGGUAACACUAACUGGAGGACCGAACCGACUAAUGUUGAAAAAUUAGCGGAUGACCUGUGGCUGGGGGUGAAAGGCCAAUCAAACCGGGAGAUAGCUGGUUCUCCCCGAAAGCUAUUUAGGUAGCGCCUCGUGAACUCAUCUUCGGGGGUAGAGCACUGUUUCGGCUAGGGGGCCAUCCCGGCUUACCAACCCGAUGCAAACUACGAAUACCGAAGAAUGUUAUCACGGGAGACACACGGCGGGUGCUAACGUCCGUCGUGAAGAGGGAAACAACCCAGACCGCCAGCUAAGGUCCCAAAGUCAUGGUUAAGUGGGAAACGAUGUGGGAAGGCACAGACAGCCAGGAUGUUGGCUUAGAAGCAGCCAUCAUUUAAAGAAAGCGUAAUAGCUCACUGGUCGAGUCGGCCUGCGCGGAAGAUGUAACGGGGCUAAACCAUGCACCGAAGCUGCGGCAGCGACGCUUAUGCGUUGUUGGGUAG
Molecule: ribosomal RNA, 618 nt
Filed under: Enterobacter hormaechei
Lineage: Bacteria; Pseudomonadati; Pseudomonadota; Gammaproteobacteria; Enterobacterales; Enterobacteriaceae
Description: partial 23S ribosomal RNA
Rfam family: Bacterial large subunit ribosomal RNA
Source: RNAcentral